AUUGAACGCUGGCGGCAGGCCUAACACAUGCAAGUCGAGCGGUAGAGAGGUGCUUGCAUCUCUUGAGAGCGGCGGACGGGUGAGUAAUGCCUAGGAAUCUGCCUAGUGGUGGGGGAUAACGUUCGGAAACGGACGCUAAUACCGCAUACGUCCUACGGGAGAAAGCGGGGGGAUCUUCGGACCUCGCGCCAUUAGAUGAGCCUAGGUCGGAUUAGCUAGUUGGUGAGGUAAUGGCUCACCAAGGCGACGAUCCGUAACUGGUCUGAGAGGAUGAUCAGUCACACUGGAACUGAGACACGGUCCAGACUCCUACGGGAGGCAGCAGUGGGGAAUAUUGGACAAUGGGCGAAAGCCUGAUCCAGCCAUGCCGCGUGUGUGAAGAAGGUCUUCGGAUUGUAAAGCACUUUAAGUUGGGAGGAAGGUAGUAACCUAAUACGUUGCUACUUUG
This 448-nucleotide ribosomal RNA is filed under the name uncultured bacterium. Its description in RNAcentral is "bacterial SSU rRNA". It matches the Rfam family "Bacterial small subunit ribosomal RNA", at positions 30 to 477 of the family's 1533-position model. The record is from RNAcentral.